RNAcentral lists this ribosomal RNA (400 nucleotides) under uncultured bacterium. RNAcentral describes it as "bacterial SSU rRNA". It matches the Rfam family "Bacterial small subunit ribosomal RNA", at positions 355 to 748 of the family's 1533-position model. The record is from RNAcentral.
UGGGGAAUCUUGCGCAAUGGACGAAAGUCUGACGCAGCGACGCCGCGUGGGUGAUGAAGGCCUUCGGGUUGUAAAGCCCUGUGGGGAGGGAAGAAUAAGGCUAAGCGAAUAGUUUAGCCGAUGACGGUACCUCCUUAGCAAGCACCGGCUAACUCUGUGCCAGCAGCCGCGGUAAGACAGAGGGUGCGAACGUUGUUCGGAAUUACUGGGCGUAAAGCGCGUGUAGGCGGCGAUGCAGGUCGGGCGUGAAAGCCCUUGGCUCAACCAAGGAAGUGCGUUCGAAACCGCACCGCUUGAGUUUCGGAGAGGAUGGCGGAAUUCUCGGUGUAGAGGUGAAAUUCGUAGAUAUCGAGAGGAACACCAGUGGCGAAGGCGGCCAUCUGGACGAUAACUGACGCUG